Long non-coding RNA from Xiphophorus hellerii (green swordtail), 526 nucleotides. RefSeq lists it as uncharacterized. Lineage: Eukaryota; Metazoa; Chordata; Actinopteri; Cyprinodontiformes; Poeciliidae. The record is from RefSeq and is a predicted model, not a curated record. The transcript is spliced from 3 exons.
CAUAGACAUAAUAUAAGGGUAGACGCCGCAUUGGCCGCUCCGGCGCAGGAAAUACGGCGGCCAUCUUAGAGCGGUAUACCCUCGUACUUUGCUGAACCAAAACAACAGAAGAUGCCUCAGUUCUGCUCGGCUUAUUCGUGUUUAAAUCUACGAACUGUUGAUGUCAGGGACCGGGGGAUAACUUUUCACAAGUUUCCAAAAGAUAAAGAGAGGAGGAAGAGGUGGGAAAUAGCUUUGAGGAGGGAUGGAUUCACUGCAAGUGAUUCAUCUGUACUAUGCAGUGAACAUUUCAAAACGGAGGAUUUUGACAAAACAGGUCAGAUUGUCAGACUGAGAGCUGAUGUGAUACCAUCAAUUUUCAGCUUCCCAGUUCACCUUCAAAGAGUUGAAAACUACAGAACUACAAUAACCUCCACAAAAGCCCAAAGUAGUGAGUAUGUGGCCUCUCAAGAUGACCCAGAAACUUGUAGUUCAGACCUGCAACCUCAGUCUAAUGAUGUGAGUAUUUUUUCUAUUGUAAAUAUCA